CCGGAAGUGUGGAGACACGCCAAAGAAGAAGCGAGGCGGAGGGGCGUGCUCAGUGAGCAUACUGAGAUAAGCUGGAAAGAACGUGCGUAGAUUAGCAAGUCUGACUUAUAAUGUGAUCAAAAGUUGGUACUCAUCUUAUCAAAUCUGACACGAUGGCUAGGCAGUUUCAUUAACACUGGUGUUUCAUUGUUGUUAAUGGCAGAUGGACACUUCAUCUUUUGAGCUCCCUUGUACACUGAAGGUGUUUAAUUUUGGACUAGUUCAGGAUUUUGAUUGUG
RNAcentral lists this long non-coding RNA (278 nucleotides) under Hordeum vulgare. Its description in RNAcentral is "long non-coding RNA (HVUL_LNC002686)". The record is from RNAcentral. Lineage: Eukaryota; Viridiplantae; Streptophyta; Magnoliopsida; Poales; Poaceae.